RNAcentral lists this ribosomal RNA (1371 nucleotides) under uncultured bacterium. RNAcentral's name for it is "bacterial SSU rRNA". It matches the Rfam family "Bacterial small subunit ribosomal RNA", at positions 28 to 1381 of the family's 1533-position model. The record is from RNAcentral.
GAUGAACGCUGGCGGCGUGCCUAAUACAUGCAAGUCGAGCGAACGGACGAGAAGCUUGCUUCUCUGAUGUUAGCGGCGGACGGGUGAGUAACACGUGGAUAACCUACCUAUAAGACUGGGAUAACUUCGGGAAACCGGAGCUAAUACCGGAUAAUAUUUUGAACCGCAUGGUUCAAAAGUGAAAGACGGUCUUGCUGUCACUUAUAGAUGGAUCCGCGCUGCAUUAGCUAGUUGGUAAGGUAACGGCUUACCAAGGCAACGAUGCAUAGCCGACCUGAGAGGGUGAUCGGCCACACUGGAACUGAGACACGGUCCAGACUCCUACGGGAGGCAGCAGUAGGGAAUCUUCCGCAAUGGGCGAAAGCCUGACGGAGCAACGCCGCGUGAGUGAUGAAGGUCUUCGGAUCGUAAAACUCUGUUAUUAGGGAAGAACAUAUGUGUAAGUAACUGUGCACAUCUUGACGGUACCUAAUCAGAAAGCCACGGCUAACUACGUGGCAGCAGCCGCGGUAAUACGUAGGUGGCAAGCGUUAUCCCGAAUUAUUGGGCGUAAAGCGCGCGUAGGCGGUUUUUUAGUCUGAUGUGAAAGCCCACGGCUCAACCGUGGAGGGUCAUUGGAAACUGGAAAACUUGAGUGCAGAAGAGGAAAGUGGAAUUCCAUGUGUAGCGGUGAAAUGCGCAGAGAUAUGGAGGAACACCAGUGGCGAAGGCGACUUUCUGGUCUGUAACUGACGCUGAUGUGCGAAAGCGUGGGGAUCAAACAGGAUUAGAUACCCUGGUAGUCCACGCCGUAAACGAUGAGUGCUAAGUGUUAGGGGGUUUCCGCCCCUUAGUGCUGCAGCUAACGCAUUAAGCACUCCGCCUGGGGAGUACGACCGCAAGGUUGAAACUCAAAGGAAUUGACGGGGACCCGCACAAGCGGUGGAGCAUGUGGUUUAAUUCGAAGCAACGCGAAGAACCUUACCAAAUCUUGACAUCCUUUGACAACUCUAGAGAUAGAGCCUUCCCCUUCGGGGGACAAAGUGACAGGUGGUGCAUGGUUGUCGUCAGCUCGUGUCGUGAGAUGUUGGGUUAAGUCCCGCAACGAGCGCAACCCUUAAGCUUAGUUGCCAUCAUUAAGUUGGGCACUCUAAGUUGACUGCCGGUGACAAACCGGAGGAAGGUGGGGAUGACGUCAAAUCAUCAUGCCCCUUAUGAUUUGGGCUACACACGUGCUACAAUGGACAAUACAAAGGGCAGCGAAACCGCGAGGUCAAGCAAAUCCCAUGAAGUUGUUCUCAGUUCGGAUUGUAGUCUGCAACUCGACUACAUGAAGCUGGAAUCGCUAGUAAUCGUAGAUCAGCAUGCUACGGUGAAUACGUUCCCGGGUCU